RNAcentral lists this ribosomal RNA (729 nucleotides) under uncultured bacterium. Its description in RNAcentral is "bacterial SSU rRNA". It matches the Rfam family "Bacterial small subunit ribosomal RNA", at positions 396 to 1116 of the family's 1533-position model. The record is from RNAcentral.
GCCGCGUGUGUGAAGAAGGCCUUCGGGUUGUAAAGCACUUUUGUCAGGAACGAAACGUGUUGGGCUAAUAUCCCGACAUAAUGACGGUACCUGAAGAAUAAGCACCGGCUAACUACGUGCCAGCAGCCGCGGUAAUACGUAGGGUGCAAGCGUUAAUCGGAAUUACUGGGCGUAAAGCGUGCGCAGGCGGUUGUGCAAGACAGAUGUGAAAUCCCCGGGCUUAACCUGGGAAUUGCAUUUGUGACUGCACGGCUAGAGUGUGUCAGAGGGGGGUAGAAUUCCACGUGUAGCAGUGAAAUGCGUAGAUAUGUGGAGGAAUACCGAUGGCGAAGGCAGCCCCCUGGGAUAACACUGACGCUCAUGCACGAAAGCGUGGGGAGCAAACAGGAUUAGAUACCCUGGUAGUCCACGCCCUAAACGAUGUCUACUAGUUGUCGGGUCUUAAUUGACUUGGUAACGCAGCUAACGCGUGAAGUAGACCGCCUGGGGAGUACGGUCGCAAGAUUAAAACUCAAAGGAAUUGACGGGGACCCGCACAAGCGGUGGAUGAUGUGGAUUAAUUCGAUGCAACGCGAAAAACCUUACCUACCCUUGACAUGCCAGGAACUUGCCAGAGAUGGCUCGGUGCCCGAAAGGGAACCUGGACACAGGUGCUGCAUGGCUGUCGUCAGCUCGUGUCGCGAGAUGUUGGGUUAAGUCCCGCAACGAGCGCAACCCUUGUCAUUAGUU